Molecule: long non-coding RNA, 349 nt
Filed under: Bos indicus x Bos taurus (hybrid cattle)
Lineage: Eukaryota; Metazoa; Chordata; Mammalia; Artiodactyla; Bovidae
Description: lncRNA (ENSBIXG00000006228.1)
Source: RNAcentral
CAACAUUUGUACAAAGAUGCUAGGCUUUGGAUGGUAGUAGACAGUUAGAAGUGUGGUUUGAACCAUUGCAGCAGGUGUCCUCUGACUCAAGCAGCCUGUGUGAAAAUUUCCCUUACUCACUUGGCCUCCUGUCUCCAACUGGAAAGACACUUCUGACUCCUGGGAUCUGAUCCAGUCUGCUCUUCUCAACCCUGAAACACAAAGCAGACCUCAACCAAGGCUCAUUCAGGCUGCCUCUUCCAGGAGGGCAACUCAGAUGCAGGACAGGACUCAGUUACCUGGAAGGGCCAGUGCUAGAAGUGAAGUGAAGAUAAACUUCAUAUUCGUCAUUCUUCUGGAUCUCUUGUAA